UUAAUUUUGGAAUAUCAGAUUAGUAGAUGACAAACCAAUUUUAUAGUGGAACAAUUAUGAAUUGGAUUCAGGUAUUACAUUACUGUACAUUAAUUCUAACUAAAAACUAGUUUUAAUUGGAUUUGACUCAUAUUCCUCAUCUUUUAAUAGAAACUUUUCUUGAUUAGAAACUUUCAUAGCAUGCCAAAUUGACAAAGACAAAACUAAAAAUUCCUUAGAAUAAAAACAUACGGGCCGUAUAUGGGCCGAAGCCCAAAUAGUUUAAUCAUCGUUCGUGAGCCACAAACAGUCUCUCUCUCCCAGCGACGGUUCAUUUCUUCCUCUUUGACCAAAUUCCACAGACUCCGUCAUGUCCUCCGACGGAAACUCCACCGCCGCCGCGGCGGUCGAAAAGAUGUACUUCUGUUACCAAUGCAACCAAACAGUCACAAUCUCAACCUCCUCCACCUCCUCCGAUCCCUUCUGCCCUCUCUGCUCCGGUGGGUUUCUCGAAGAAUACGACGAACCAAACCCUAAUCCACCCCCGAAUCUGAACCCUAGCGGAGGAGGCUUCUUCCCCAUGUCCGAUCCUUUCUCCACCUUACUCCCUCUCCUAUUCGGCUCCAACCCCUCGAUGCAGCCUCGCUCCACGCGAAACGACGCGUUCGAUCCGGUGUCGUUUCUCCAGAACCACCUCCAGCAUCUCCGAUCCAGCGGCACGCACGUGCAGUUCGUGAUCGAGAAUCACCCCUCCGAUCAAUCAAACCGAGUCCCGGGGAACCUCGGGGACUACUUCUUCGGCCCUGGACUCGAGCAGCUGAUUCAGCAGCUCGCGGAGAAUGAUCCUAACCGGUAUGGAACUCCUCCGGCGUCGAAAUCGGCCGUCGACGGGCUGCCGAGUGUUAAGGUGACGAAGGAUAUGGUGAGGUCGGAGAUGAACCAGUGCGCUGUUUGUAUGGAUGAGUUUGAGGACGGUGGGGAUGUAAAGCAGAUGCCUUGUAAGCACGUGUUUCAUCAGGAUUGUUUGAUGCCGUGGCUGGAGUUGCAUAACUCUUGUCCGGUUUGUCGGUACGAGUUGCCUACGGAUGAUCCUGAGUAUGAGAGUAGGGGUCAGGCUAGUGGGGGUGGACAGGGGGAUGUGGAGACGGGGAGGAGGUUUAGUAUACAGGUGCCUUUGCCGUUUAGGGGACGUGAUGGUGAUGGUGAUGGUUCUGGGUCGGGAGCACCUGGAAGUGGAGGUGGAGCUAAUCUUGAGACCAGGGGGGAUGAUUUGGAUUGAGGUUUGUGUCUCUUGCCUUAGUAAGAAUCCGUUGUUUGAACUAGACUACUUGCUGUUUUAUGGUUGUGUGGCUGCGAGAACUUUGUCGAUGUGUGUGGCUAACUAUGUUAACGUCAUGCUCGGGUCGUUUCAUCGUAUGGCCAGAGUCAUUGCUUGUAGAUUGGAUUGGAAAAAUGAUGUGCACAAGUUCUCAGGAAAAAGAAAAAAGUGACGUUGAGGUUUUACCAUAUUUUGUACAUUUACCAACAAAAAAAAAGAAGUCAUGUUCUCGUCUGUACCUUUUUGGGAUUAUAACGAUUGUGAGUUUAAAGAAAAAUCGCAAUAUUUCAUUCAAGUGCUAUUUUGUUUAUUUUCUCAUUCCAUGAUUGGGGUAUGUGAAAUCGAGAUCCCUAUACACGAUUUUGAUUCACUCAUCAAACUUUAAACAUAUAUGACUUGCAAAAUUCGGACACAUACUGAAAAUAUAAACAGUCCCUUGUGGUGUGUUUCGUGAACUUUGUAUCAAACGACUUUACAGCUUUUUGUUCUCAAACUUAUCCUAUAUUACACGUAGUCACAAAUGUGCAACAUUUUUCCCAUUGUUUUUUUCAGCUUUUCUUCUUAUAUGGUAAUGGCAUGUAUGAUGCGGGAACCAACAAAAAAUGGCUAUCUAUUCGUUGCUUGUAUCUGUUUAGUUGGGCAUCACUAUUGAUAGAAAAAUUGAUUAUAAUCAUUUUUUUCUUCUGCUUAUCUGACAAUGUUUAAAAUUUGAAACCAUCAGUUUAACAGAAAACACACAAAUAGGACAUAAUCGUCGUUUCAGGACAUGUGAGGUGCUGAAAAUUCACCUUUCUCAAAAUUCAGUUGGUGGCAAAAAACCAAAAACAUUUAAAAUUGUCGGAUAACAUUUUAAUUGAUAAAAUAUAUAGAGGAAUUGGGGUGUAUAACCAGACAAAAACGUAUAAUUCACUGCAUAGCUAUUUUUCCUAACAUUUCUAUACACGGUGUUAACUUUAUAAAUUAAUACAAUAUUGCCCUUUCCUGCAACCGGCGAAACCUGAAAAAAAAAAUUAUUCUUAAUUAUUAUAUCUAAAAAGUAUAAUGUGGCUUUACUGACUUCACAUCUUUCUUUUUUAUUCCUUAGUAACUUCGUAUCCUUUCAUUGCUCUCCGACACCGCUUUGUUGCACAUCAUCACCUCCAUUGGAUUAACAUUGAAUUGUUGACUUCUUCUUCAUUCUUUGCAAGCACAUCCUCUUCUUCUCAUCUGAAAUCGUCUGUCACACAACAUCGUUAGGGUGUCAGCGGCGAGUAGUACCAAACCGUUCCUAUUCCACUUCACACCGUUGAUUCUUCUCAUAUCUCUGGAACUACAUUAAGUUCUCAGGUGUUUACCUUCAAAUCUCUUCAUAUGUUGUUAUUUUUCUUUUCUAUUUGGGCUAUUGUCGGAAUUAGAGUACUAUAAUUGGUAAAUCUACAACCUCGUACCAUUGCAUGUCGGAUCUGAUUUUUACGUCGAAGUUCACCAAUUGAUUUAGGGUUUUGGUUUCCUCGAUUGUUCUUGAUUUUGAAUUUUAGGAGAAAUACAUAAUAAAUAGUAUAGUAAUAUAAUUUGUUGUAUGGAAUAGCAUCUAUAAUACAACUUGUAUGCGUGAAAUCUCUUACGCUUAUUUUAUUUGAGAUGGAAUAGGAAAACUAUAUGUUCGAACUAUGCUAUUUGAGAUGGAAUCAAUUGACAACCUAUUCUACUUGAGAUGGAAUUGAAUGAUCUGUAACAUAUGUGCUAUCAUUCUUUAUCAACAAUCGUAUUGUUUGAAAUAAAAAAAAUAUUUUCUAUAUAAAAUAGAAUGAAUUACUCUAUUAUAACAAUGUUUCCCUCUUACUUAGUUCCUUAGGUUUGGCAUGGACGAAUUAGGCCUUCCAAGUAGAUUGGUUGAGACAUGUUUUGAACUCACUGGAAAGACGGAUUAACAAAUAUUUCAACUUCCUUUGGAUUGAUGUGGUCAAGAAUGCAUAAGAGGGUUCAAUCUUGUUCGUUGUUAUUUCAUGUUCUCUUGAUAUUAGUUUUGUAUCGGUGCCUAAAUGUGUUUUAUAUUAGUGUGUAUAUGAUUUUGUAAAAAGAAAUAAUAUGUUGAACGUAAAUGGAAUAAAAUUUAUUAUGACAUCAAAUAAAACAUAAUACAAUGUGAUAUUGAAUGGAAAUGAUAUUCAUAUGAUGUUGUCUCUUCCACCUAUUUUCUUUAAAUGCCGUCAAUUUUAAUUUCUUUCCCUACAAUCAAUUUGAAUUUGGUAUAAGCAUUACUUCUUUUCCCUCAAUUGUAAACACUUCAAAAUCUGAACAAUAUUUACUGUCUUAUAUCGUUUGACACCGUUUCUAUUCUAUAUGCUCAUGUAGAAUGGAAAUGCAUCUUACUGGCAUUUCAAAAUUUGGGUUUAGUUUAUGAAAGAUUAUGAUUAACAUUGGAUUAGGAUUUAUAUUUCCAUGUUGGGUUUAGUGAUUAGUGGUUUUGAUACCGUUUCUAUUCUAUAUGCUCAUGUAGAAUGGAAAUGCAUCUUACUGGCAUUUCAAAAUUUGGGUUUAGUUUAUGAAAGAUUAUGAUUAACAUUGGAUUAGGAUUUAUAUUUCCAUGUUGGGUUUAGUGAUUAGUGGUUUUGAUUUAGUUUAAAAAAGAUUGAGGUUGAUAUUGGAUAUUGGAUUAGGAUUUAUAUUUUCAUGUAGAGUUUAAUGAUUAGUUGAUAGGGUUUAGUUAUGUACGAUUGGGUUGACAUUUGGGUAAGCAUAACCACAUUUCAUGAAGGUAUAGCCAUAUCAACAUUUGAGAAAUGUGUUAAGAUGAUCUUUAGAUUGUAACUACAUUUUCACAUUUUCUAUUAUAUAUGCCUUAUGUAAAAUAGUAUUGCAUUUUACUGACAUUUUAAAAUUUAGGUUUAAUUUAUAAAAGAUUGGAGUUCACACUGGAUUAGGGUUUAUAUUUCCGUGUAGGGUUUAGUGAUUAGUUGAUAGGUUUAGUUUAUCAAAGAUUUGAAGUGACAUAGGAAUAAUGUUACAUGGAAACGGAAGCGGGUACGUGGAAGCGGAAGCGUAUGGAAGCGCAUAAGCGAGAUUUUUAAAAAAAUUAGGAAGCGGAUACGUGUUGGAAGCGUAUCCAUAUAUAUAUAUAUAUAUGUAAGACUAAAAAUUAAAAAUUGGAAUAUAUAUAUACAUAUGUAAGAUUAUUUUAAAAAAUCUAAAACUAAAAAUUAUAUGAUUUAAAUUUAAAAUAAAGCAUUUAUUCAUUUAUAAUAAUUUUGAAAUGACUUCAUAUUUAAACUGUGCAAAUACACAUAAAUUAAAUUAAAUAAAUAAUAUUAUAUUUUUUUAAUUCUUUAUAAUUAAUUGACAUAAUAUAUUUGAAUAUAUGAUUUAUCUUUAAUAAAAACAUUAAUGCAUAAAGAUAAUUUAUAGUAUUAGUUUUAAUUGAAAUGACUUCCAAUGUGUUUUUAAAGAGAAUAUUUUAGAAGCGUUUUGGAAACGAGAUUCCGCAAGCUUCCACAAGGUUCCGAUUCCGAUUCCGGUUCCGAAGCGGGAAGCGGACGUCCGAUGAAGCUUCCAUGCAACGUAGCAUAGGAUGAAGGUUUAUAUUUUCGUAUAGGGUAUAGUGAUUAUUGAGGAGGAGCUAGUUUCUGGCAUAUUGGGUUCUCCAUUUGAAGAUUGGAUAGAGAGUUAAUUAAUAUAGAAAAGUUUUAGUUUCAUAAUUGGGUUAGGGUUUAUAUUUCCUUUUAGGGUUUAUAUUUUCUUUUAGGGUUUAGUGAUGAUUAAAGAAGGGUUAGUUUCUGGCAUAUUGGGUUUGCCAUUUGAAGAUUGGGGUUCACAUUGAGGUCAUAUUUCUGUGUAAAGUUUAGUGAUUAGUUAAUAGGGUGUAGUAUAUAUUCCUCUGUGUGUUUACUGAGGUUUUACACUUCCAUACUAUUUGACAUUUACAUCAUGACAUAUACUAUUGUGUCAUAUAGAAUAGCAAUGUUCUGAAUUGGUUUCUCUGUUACGUUACCAUAUAUAGAACGUGUAUUCUUAUUAUCCACUCAUUUUCUUUUAUAAUUUUCUAUCAUAUGUGAUAAAUACAGCUGGCCUCUCAUCUGCGUAUCGUUAUGUAUGUUUUUAUAUUCCACUGGAAAACACCACAUCACUUAUUUUAGGAAUUGUAACUGGCAACCGUUUAUGUGAAGGGGCAGAACCGGAGAAAAUGUGACCAAAGAGUCUAACAUUUAAUUAUGUCAAAAUCAAUGCUACUCACCUAAUUUCACACUGAAAUAUGGCUAUUUAGCCAAUAAGCCCAAAUAUAUAUAACUGCAAGUCUUCUGAGUUCAAAAAAGAUAAGAAAAAAAAAACAGAAAUAAAGGCUCUAAAACAAACAGCAGGCUUCUUCUAUUCUUGUGAAGCAGAGAAAAAGCUGAAUCUUCUUCUUCACUCGGACUUGUGGCAUUUGUCUCUCCAAAUUUGAAAUCUGUCAAGCAGUCUCCUCACUUGUUACUUGAGGAUUUAUGCUCUUUAGGCCCUUUUUUCACACCGGUGGCAUUUUCAAUAUCUCCACACCGACCUUUUCACUCUGAUCUUUCAAGUUUACAGAACCAGAAGCUUCUUCUCUGUGG
This is an RNA transcript of Brassica rapa (field mustard), 5862 nucleotides long. It is a transcript of the gene named E3 ubiquitin-protein ligase RING1-like, with no coding region annotated. NCBI's taxonomy places the organism in Eukaryota, Viridiplantae, Streptophyta, Magnoliopsida, Brassicales, Brassicaceae. The record is from RefSeq and is a predicted model, not a curated record.